CAGCAGUAGGGAAUCUUCCACAAUGAGCGAAAGCUUGAUGGAGCGACACAGCGUGCAGGAUGAAGGUUUUCGAAUUGUAAACUGCUGUUAUAGGGGAAGAAAAACUUGGAUAGGAAAUGAUCCAAACUUGACGGUACCUUAUUAGAAAGUGACGGCUAACUAUGUGCCAGCAGCCGCGGUAAUACAUAGGUCACAAGCGUUAUCCGGAAUUAUUGGGCGUAAAGCGUUCGUAGGCGGUUUGUUAAGUCUGGAGUUAAAGACUGGGGCUCAACCCCAGCCCGCUCUGGAUACUGGCUGACUAGAGUUACAUAGAGGUAAGUGGAAUUCUUAGUGGAGCGGUGGAAUGCGUAGAUAUUAGGAAGAACACCAAUGGCGAAGGCAGCUUACUGGAUGUACACUGACGCUCAGGGACGAAAGCGUGGGGAGCAAACAGGAUUAGAUACCCUGGUAGUCCACGCCGUAAACGAUGAUCAUUAGCCGCUAGAAUAUUUAGUGGCGCAGCUAACGCAUUAAAUGAUCCGCCUGAGUAGUAUGCUCGCAAGAGUGAAACUUAAAGGAAUUGACGGGGACCCGCACAAGCGGUGGAGCAUGUGGUUUAAUUUGAAGAUACGCGUAGAACCUUACCCACUCUUGACAUCUUCCGCAAUACUAUGGAGACAUAGUGGAGGUUAACGGAAUGACAGAUGGUGCAUGGUUGUCGUCAGCUCGUGCCGUGAGGUGUUAGGUUAAGUCCUGCAACGAGCGCAACCCCUGUCUUUAGUUACUAACGGAUAAUGCCGAGGACUCUAGAGAGACUGACUGGGUAACCAGUAGGAAGGUGGGGACGACGUCAAAUCAUCAUGCCUCUUACGAGUGGGGCAACACACGUGCUACAAUGGACGGUACAAAGAGAAGCAAUAUGGUGACAUGGAGCAAACCUCAAAAACCGUUCUCAGUUCGGAUUGAAGUCUGAAACUCGACUUCAUGAAGUUGGAAUCGCUAGUAAUCGUAGAUCAGCUACGCUACGGUGAAUACGUUCUCGGGUCUUGUAC
This 1031-nucleotide ribosomal RNA is filed under the name uncultured Mycoplasma sp. Its description in RNAcentral is "bacterial SSU rRNA". It matches the Rfam family "Bacterial small subunit ribosomal RNA", at positions 349 to 1386 of the family's 1533-position model. Lineage: Bacteria; Bacillati; Mycoplasmatota; Mollicutes; Mycoplasmatales; Mycoplasmataceae. The record is from RNAcentral.